GACAGCACGCCCCAUGGCCGCAGCCCGGAACACCUGUGUAGCAGGUCACAUGGGGAAGGGCAGCUGGACCUCCAGACAGCACGCCCCAUGGCCGCAGCCCGGAACACCUGUGUAGCAGGUCACAUGGGGAAGGGCAGCUGGACCUCCAGACAGCACGCUGCAAGGCUGUAGCCCGGAACACCUGUGUAGGAGGUCACAUGGUUAGGACAGCUGGACCUCCAGACAGCAUGCUGCAAGGCUGUAGCCCGGAACACCUGUGUAGGAGAUCAACCAGCAAAUGCACCCUGAGGCAGCUUCAACUCCAAGUGCAUGUGCCAAGAACAAGGAAGGCCACCGCGGCUGCCUCAAAGUCUGUGUGCUUCCAGGAAAUGUCUCUAAUAGAAAUACCAUAUCAGGAAAUAUGUGGACAUUCCUAAACCAGACAACUAAUCACAUUCUAGGUCAGCAGAAACAAAACCUCCCAUAAACAGACAAACACAUGGUCGGGGGCAGGACUUCAUGAAAAGAUCAAAGAAAAGAAACAUGGAUGGCCGGGCAGAGUGGCUCAUGCUUAUAAUCCCAGCACUUUGGGAGGCCGAGGUGGGUGGAUCACUUGAGGUCAGGGGUUCAAGACCAGCUUGGCCAAAACGGUGAAACCCCAUCUCUGCUAAAAACACAAAAAUUAGCCACGUAUGGUGGCACACACCUGUAGUCCCAGCUACUUGGGAGGCUGAGGCAGGAAAAUUGCUUGAACCCAGGAGGUGGAGGUUGGAGUGAGCAGAGAUCGCAACAUUCACUCCGGCCUGGGUGACAGAGGGAGAUUCCAGUUAAAAAAAAAAAAAAGAAAGAAACAUGGAGGAAAUCUCAGUUCAGGCAGAUUCAUCUGAAGAGGACACAAUGAGGAAAGAAGUGGUACAGAGAAAUACGUUGAAACAGCAUAUGUUUUGAACGUUUAUGUUUCCCGACUGACCACUCCAGUUUGGAGGAAGAGGAAGCAAAGGAGAGACACUGUGUUAACAUUUUACCUAGGAUUUCUCAUUUAAUCCUAUUUAAUCUGGCCAAGUCUAUUUCCUAGAUCACAUCCUGGGUCCUCAGCAAACGUUUGGAAGCAAUCUUGUCAUUUGUCAUAAACUCCAGCCCCAGACCAGCAUCAUCACAGAAGUGGCUUCUGGCAGCCUGGGGGCCUCCUCCCACCCACUCCACUAACAACACACAGGCCACUCCCCCUGCAGUCAUUACUACCGGAGAAAUGUUCUAUGGGUCUCACAACACUUACUCUAAAAGGUAAGAGCUAAUUGGCAACCACAUCGAGGCACUGGGAAAAGAUGCCCUCACCCAUCCCUGGUUCCCUGGGUCAUCACCUGUGAUAUAGGGGCUCCAGACCCAAAGGCAUCACUGAAAUCAGUCAGCACAGGAGGCUACAUGUUCCCAAAGCUCUUUGCAAACCUCAACUGCAGCUGUGUUCUCUGCUCCCAAAGGAGAAUUACUCACUUCAAUCUGACUCAUUAUAAUUAGAGUAGGUUGACUUUAGGGAGCAAUAUUUACUUUUUAAAAUAAAAUGGCAAUGAGGGGUGUGUUGCUUGGCAUCACUUAAUAGGUUAGGGCUUGCAAGGCCUGCUCUUGAGUUGUGAAUUUUCUGUGCAGACGGAGCAGGUGUGGGGAGUACCUGUGAUGAGGUGGUGGCUCUGGGGUCAGGCUUUCCCCAUGAGAACAACCAAGACAGCAUAUGAUCCCCUAAAACAGGGGUCAGCAAACUAUAACCCAUAGGCCAAGCCACCUGUGUUGGGAAGUAUAGCUUUAUUGGAACACAGCCAUGCCCAUCUUGUCUAUACUGUCUGCAGCUGCUUCCAUGCUGCAGUAAGGGAGAUGAGUCAUUGUGCUAGAAACUAUCUGUUUGCAAAGACUGAAACAUGUGCUAUCUGACCUUCUGCAGAAGAAGGCGGCCCCUGCUCCAGCACAUAGGGUACUCACUCAACAAUGAGCUAUAUUGCGUCUUAAGCUCAGUACAUGCAUGUAUCAUAACGCUCUUAAAGGUCAAAUGGAUUUAAAAACUCAAAAGUUCCACAAGUAUAUAGCACCUUUGGUACUAAACUCAAGUAUUAACAGUUAUUACUUACCUGAACAUUCAUUUCUUUGAAGCAGAAAGGAAGUCAAAUUUCUGUCACCUCUAGUACUGUCCUAGAACAUAUUCAUAGAUGCUGGCUAUUUGCCACCAUCCAAUUCUUCAUGCUGAAGUGGUUUGAAACCACAAAAAUGUAUUAACUAAUGAAUUAAUCAAUCUGUUUGUGCUUUCAUCUUUUACCUCAACAAAUGUGUACUGGGCACCAGACACUGUGCUGGGUGUGUUAGAAUACGAAGAUGAAACAGUCUCACUGUGUGGACUCAGGGUACCUGUAUUAGUUUGUUCUCAUGCUGCUAUGAAGAAAUAUUUGAGACUGAGUCAUUUAUACAAGAAAGAGGUUUAAUUGACUCACAGUUCUGCAUUGCUGGGGAGGCCUCAGGAGACUUACAAUCACGGCAGAAGGCACCUCUUCACAGGGCAGCAGAAGACAGAGUGAGUGUCGAGCAAAGGGGGAAACCAUCAGAUCUCGUGAGAACUCACUAUCACUAGAAGAGCAUGGGGGAAACUGCCCCCAUGAUUCAAUUAUCUCCAUCUGGUCCCACCAUUGACACAUGGGGAUUAUAAUAAUUCAAAGGUGAGAUUUGUGUGGGGACACAGAGCCACACCAUAUCACCACCUAACCAAGGAGAGAGACAUGUCUACAGGCAACAAGAGAUCAUGUGUGCUGGGAGAUUGCACGGUGAAACCUGAAGCCCCAGGAUGGCUAGCUACCAUUGUGUGUGUGUGUGUGUGUGUGUGCAUGUGUGUGUUGGGGGAGGUGUCAGGAAGCCUUCUCUGAGAAGUUGUCAUUUACUUUGUUUUGUUGCUACUUAUUCUGUAAGAGGUUAAACAAGAUAACUUCUAUAAUCACUUAUCCCCUCCUCAUCUCCAACGGAGCAUGACAUGAGUGAAGGUCAGUUGUUCAAGAGGACAAUUAUAGACUUAAUUCUAAAGUGUGUGCAUGCACACGCACACACACACACAUAUGCAUGCACAGCAACUCCUUUUACAGUUGUGGGUUAAAUUUCCUUUAUGUUACAAGCUGUUCCCAGAGGCAGGACAAGUACCAACUCUACUACGGGACCCGGUUUAUUUGCAUGUGCAGACAAUGAGGCAGGAGUCCACACACUGAGUUACAGCCGCUGGGUGAUAAGAAGCGAGGCCGCAGGUAUGGUGGAAAGAGACCUUGACAUGUGGUCACAUUAUGAUGGUCUUCUCCUGACUACUAUAAAAAGGCUGGACAAUGAUCACUCAGUAAGGUUACACAUUCCCAUCCUUCUCCCUGUAGUGGGGUGAUGAGGCCAGGUGCAGAGCUGUGGGUACUGGCUUGUAAUGGAUCCGCAGCAGGCAGGGAGAGCUCUCUAUGGAGGUGUAAUGGCCACUUUCACAGAUGAUUUGAUGGAUAUUGAAAAUCUCUUCAAUCACAGACUUUCAGAGGGUUUUAAAGUCAACUAUUAGAGAUUCAGUUGCGCAUCAGUCCUGAAAACUUAGAUCUUCUACAAUCUCUUAUCAAAUUGCAUUUUUUUCCCUGUGUAAGAGUUAAUGCCUUUGAGAAAAGACAAAUUUUGUCUCUUUGUUGUGACUGAACUGAUGGAUUGGUGUUCCUCGGUCAAGGUCAGCUCUCAGCUGCCUCACUUCCUCCUGUCACCCUGUGAUUUUGAUCAGUUACAUAUGCUUUUCAAAACCUCUGUUAUCAGUUUUAGCAUUAGAGACAUG
Molecule: long non-coding RNA, 3796 nt
Filed under: Homo sapiens (human)
Lineage: Eukaryota; Metazoa; Chordata; Mammalia; Primates; Hominidae
Description: HSALNT0131118
Source: RNAcentral